GGAGCGGGGGAAAGAAUGAUGAAACGGGGGAGGGGUUGAGAAUCAUGUGUGAAGAGGUUAAGAUACCUAUGUGGGGCUGGGGACUGGGUGCUGCGGAUGAAGGCAGGAACAGAGAGACACUUCUCUGUGCGCCAAAGAGAAGGAAGUCAGUCGCCAGUGACUCUGAAAUUUUAAAUUAUCUCCAACAAGGACAAUGAAAAGAGGCAAGUCGACACUUUGAGAAGGCUUGACGAGCUUGUCAAGAAUGCCAGUUGACAAAGGCAGUUUUAGAGAAACCUGAAGAAGUGGACAAAGACGGAGAAAAGGCAGCCAGAUGUGAUCCUGAACUUCAGAAGCCGAAAGCCUCUGUCAUCCCCUAGGAGCCUUGGCAGUCACAGGAAUGAGCGAGUGGAAAUGAACAGAUCUUGAAACACCCAGUCGCAGAGGAACCACGUAUGCUUAUCAGGCCUGAGACCUCUUAAAUAAACUGCAUCCCCUUCCAUUUUCAAUUUCCAGUUGAGAAUGAUGAAAAAGGUCAUGAUACAGUCUGUGCUCCACAGGGACAUUGCUGUGCCAACGAUACUCUCUCUAAAAGUGCAGGGCAUCUGGGAGGGUGAGCUGCCUAUAACUCUCAAUUGUCUAGGUAAUGAAGUAUCAAGAAAGCUAAACCAGAUGAAAUAAUUUGAUCGUCAAAAAAUGAUUCCUCUGAUGGUGCUUGGAGUGGGCUGGCUGACAAGUAUGAGAUUGCCAAGUUAGGUUACCUCACUCUGGUUUUCUCUCCCACUUGGGGUGAACACGGAUGGGCAGAAUGCGGGCUCCUAGGGGCUGUGUGCGGAACUCCAGCCCUUCACUCAGAUAGUUUUACGUUUCACAGUGUCGGAGAUGGGUGUGUUUCGGUGAGAUUUCUCAAGACCCCACAGAGCCACUUGGAGAAUGGGUGCUAUGCUGAAAAGACUUCCUGAACAUUCUCAAACUUGCCUUAGGACCUGAGGGUCCUCAGAAGUCCCUGGAAAAAGAGCAUCAAGUUCCCCAUGGACUAUGCCCUCCUGGAAUAUUGAGGGUAUUCAACCGGCCAUUAAUAGCUGCUCAGCUAGGGUCGAGGCCUUGGGAGACCCUCGCUGUGAGUCCUUGAGUCCACUAGCCAGGUCAUGUCCAGAAGACAGCAUGUCACAGCGUCAGCUCGCCCUCCAGCCCUCACAUGCUUUCUGCCCCGUGUGUCUAGAGCCUUGUGUAGGGG
Molecule: long non-coding RNA, 1216 nt
Organism: Psammomys obesus (fat sand rat)
Lineage: Eukaryota; Metazoa; Chordata; Mammalia; Rodentia; Muridae
Exons: 4
Source: RefSeq, a predicted model, not a curated record